This 512-nucleotide ribosomal RNA is filed under the name uncultured bacterium. RNAcentral's name for it is "bacterial SSU rRNA". It matches the Rfam family "Bacterial small subunit ribosomal RNA", at positions 18 to 518 of the family's 1533-position model. The record is from RNAcentral.
UCGUCGUCAGGACGAACGCUGGCGGCGUGCCUAACACAUGCAAGUCGAGCGGGGACAUGCGACGGAUAGGAAGAUUCGGUUGGACUUGAAGAUGCAUUGUCUAGCGGCGGACGGGUGAGUAACGCGUGAGCAACCUGUCCCUUACAGGGGGAUAACACAGCGAAAGUUGUACUAAUACCGCAUAAGACCACGGGAGGACAUCCUUCAGGGGUCAAAGGAGCAAUCCGGUAAGGGGUGGGCUCGCGUCCGAUUAGAUAGUUGGUGAGGUAACGGCCCACCAAGUCGACGAUCGGUAGCCGACCUGAGAGGGUGAUCGGCCACAUUGGGACUGAGACACGGCCCAAACUCCUACGGGAGGCAGCAGUGGGGAAUAUUGGGCAAUGGGGGAAACCCUGACCCAGCAACGCCGCGUGAGGGAAGAAGGUUUUCGGAUCGUAAACCUCUGUCCUUGGUGAAGAGGAAGAGACGGUAGCCAAGGAGGAAGCCCCGGCUAACUACGUGCCAGCAGCGGC